Small nucleolar RNA from Neogale vison (American mink), 131 nucleotides. NCBI's taxonomy places the organism in Eukaryota, Metazoa, Chordata, Mammalia, Carnivora, Mustelidae. The record is from Ensembl.
GUGUACAAAUUCACUCUGCACCCAGCUGCAGCCCCAGGGGGGGUGCUUUUUCUGUAUUCUAUAGAAACAUCCCCAAGUGGUGUGAUCACCUUAACCCAUCAAGGGCAAUGCAACCUCGUGGGGAUGCGGGG